UAGCAGCACAUAAAUACUGGAGUUUGGGAUUGCCUACAGCUGCUCUCCAGUAUUAUAUUGCUGCUCUA
This 68-nucleotide microRNA precursor is filed under the name Microcaecilia unicolor. RNAcentral describes it as "Mun-Mir-15-P2c_pre stem-loop". The record is from RNAcentral. Lineage: Eukaryota; Metazoa; Chordata; Amphibia; Gymnophiona; Siphonopidae.